GGGUUGUGAGGUUAAGCGACUAAGCGUACACGGUGGAUGCCCUGGCAGUCAGAGGCGAUGAAGGACGUGCUAAUCUGCGAAAAGCGUCGGUAAGGUGAUAUGAACCGUUACAGCCGGCGAUGUCCGAAUGGGGAAACCCAGUGUGAUUCGUCACACUAUCGUUAACUGAAUACAUAGGUUAACGAGGCGAACCGGGGGAACUGAAACAUCUAAGUACCCCGAGGAAAAGAAAUCAACCGAGAUUCCCCAGUAGCGGCGAGCGAACGGGGAGCAGCCCAGAGUCUGAAUCAGCUUGUGUGUUAGUGGAACGGUCUGGAAAGUCCGACGGUACAGGGUGAUAGUCCCGUACACCAAAAUGCACAGGCUGUGAACUCGAAGAGUAGGGCGGGACACGUGGUAUCCUGUCUGAAUAUGGGGGACCAUCCUCCAAGGCUAAAUACUCCUGACUGACCGAUAGUGAACCAGUACCGUGAGGGAAAGGCGAAAAGAACCCCGGCGAGGGGAGUGAAAAAGAACCUGAAACCGUGUACGUACAAGCAGUGGGAGCACCUUCGGGUGUGACUGCGUACCUUUUGUAUAAUGGGUCAGCGACUUAUAUUCUGUAGCAAGGUUAACCGUAUAGGGGAGCCGCAGGGAAACCGAGUCUUAACUGGGCGUUAAGUUGCAGGGUAUAGACCCGAAACCCGGUGAUCUAGCCAUGGGCAGGUUGAAGGUUGGGUAACACUAACUGGAGGACCGAACCGACUAAUGUUGAAAAAUUAGCGGAUGACUUGUGGCUGGGGGUGAAAGGCCAAUCAAACCGGGAGAUAGCUGGUUCUCCCCGAAAGCUAUUUAGGUAGCGCCUCGUGAAUUCAUCUUCGGGGGUAGAGCACUGUUUCGGCUAGGGGUCAUCCCGACUUACCAACCCGAUGCAAACUACGAAUACCGAAGAAUGUUAUCACGGGAGACACACGGCGGGUGCUAACGUCCGUCGUGAAGAGGGAAACAACCCAGACCGCCAGCUAAGGUCCCAAAGUCACAGUUAAGUGGGAAACGAUGUGGGAAGGCACAGACAGCCAGGAUGUUGGCUUAGAAGCAGCCAUCAUUUAAAGAAAGCGUAAUAGCUCACUGGUCGAGUCGGCCUGCGCGGAAGAUGUAACGGGGCUAAACUGUGCACCGAAGCUGCGGCAGCGACACUAUGUGUUGUUGGGUAGGGGAGCGUUCUGUAAGCCUGCGAAGGUGGCCUGUGAGGGUUGCUGGAGGUAUCAGAAGUGCGAAUGCUGACAUAAGUAACGAUAAUGCGGGUGAAAAGCCCGCACGCCGGAAGACCAAGGGUUCCUGUCCAACGUUAAUCGGGGCAGGGUGAGUCGACCCCUAAGGCGAGGCCGAAAGGCGUAGUCGAUGGGAAACAGGUUAAUAUUCCUGUACUUGGUGUUACUGCGAAGGGGGACGGAGAAGGCUAUGUUAGCCGGGCGACGGUUGUCCCGGUUUAAGCAUGUAGGCGGAGGUUCCAGGUAAAUCCGGUACCUUUUUAACGCUGAGGUGUGAUGACGAGGCACUACGGUGCUGAAGUAACAAAUGCCCUGCUUCCAGGAAAAGCCUCUAAGCAUCAGGUAACAUUAAUCGUACCCCAAACCGACACAGGUGGUCAGGUAGAGAAUACCAAGGCGCUUGAGAGAACUCGGGUGAAGGAACUAGGCAAAAUGGUGCCGUAACUUCGGGAGAAGGCACGCUGAUAUGUAGGUGAAGCCCCUGCGGGUGGAGCUGAAAUCAGUCGAAGAUACCAGCUGGCUGCAACUGUUUAUUAAAAACACAGCACUGUGCAAACACGAAAGUGGACGUAUACGGUGUGACGCCUGCCCGGUGCCGGAAGGUUAAUUGAUGGGGUUAUCCGUAAGGAGAAGCUCUUGAUCGAAGCCCCGGUAAACGGCGGCCGUAACUAUAACGGUCCUAAGGUAGCGAAAUUCCUUGUCGGGUAAGUUCCGACCUGCACGAAUGGCGUAAUGAUGGCCAGGCUGUCUCCACCCGAGACUCAGUGAAAUUGAACUCGCUGUGAAGAUGCAGUGUACCCGCGGCAAGACGGAAAGACCCCGUGAACCUUUACUAUAGCUUGACACUGAACAUUGAGCCUUGAUGUGUAGGAUAGGUGGGAGGCUUUGAAGCGUGGACGCCAGUCUGCGUGGAGCCAACCUUGAAAUACCACCCUUUAAUGUUUGAUGUUCUAACGUUGGCCCCUUAUCGGGGUUGCGGACAGUGUCUGGUGGGUAGUUUGACUGGGGCGGUCUCCUCCCAAAGAGUAACGGAGGAGCACGAAGGUUAGCUAAUCCUGGUCGGACAUCAGGAGGUUAGUGCAAUGGCAUAAGCUAGCUUGACUGCGAGCGUGACGGCGCGAGCAGGUGCGAAAGCAGGUCAUAGUGAUCCGGUGGUUCUGAAUGGAAGGGCCAUCGCUCAACGGAUAAAAGGUACUCCGGGGAUAACAGGCUGAUACCGCCCAAGAGUUCAUAUCGACGGCGGUGUUUGGCACCUCGAUGUCGGCUCAUCACAUCCUGGGGCUGAAGUAGGUCCCAAGGGUAUGGCUGUUCGCCAUUUAAAGUGGUACGCGAGCUGGGUUUAGAACGUCGUGAGACAGUUCGGUCCCUAUCUGCCGUGGGCGCUGGAGAAUUGAGGGGGGCUGCUCCUAGUACGAGAGGACCGGAGUGGACGCAUCACUGGUGUUCGGGUUGUCAUGCCAAUGGCAUUGCCCGGUAGCUAAAUGCGGAAGAGAUAAGUGCUGAAAGCAUCUAAGCACGAAACUUGCCCCGAGAUGAGUUCUCCCUGAGACUUUAAGUCUCCUGAAGGAACGUUAAAGACGAUGACGUUGAUAGGUCGGGUGUGUAAGCGUAGCGAUACGUUGAGCUAACCGAUACUAAUGAACCGUGAGGCUUAACCUUACAACGCCGAAG
RNAcentral lists this ribosomal RNA (2921 nucleotides) under Klebsiella aerogenes. Its description in RNAcentral is "bacterial LSU rRNA". It matches the Rfam family "Bacterial large subunit ribosomal RNA". Lineage: Bacteria; Pseudomonadati; Pseudomonadota; Gammaproteobacteria; Enterobacterales; Enterobacteriaceae. The record is from RNAcentral.